CACGUUGGGUAAGCAACAGUGGAGGUUUUUCCUAGACCCAUGUAACGUGCAGGCCCGGAGCGUACGCCCUGAUCAGCAAGGCCCCCAUAUAGAUUAAGAAGUCCAGAAGAAUGAGACAGCUUUUGUAACACUUUCAAUAAAAACGGUCAUCGAGUCUUAGUCACCUCUGUACCUGACACGUCUUCAUGCUGAAUAAACAAUCUCGGACGGCCUACAAAGAAUAACCCACCAACCCAAUGUUGACUGUUGGAUUAGCGUCUGUCAACAGAGCUGGAGGCAGAGUCGACUUCUGAUGUGUGACUGAACAAUUAGCGUGUCCGUAUUCUGCUGAUAAGCUGUAGGAGCUUAGAGUGUUUAGAAACAGCAUCAGCAGACGAAAUGCGUUGUUGCGAAGUCAUGUCUGUUCCUUGCGUAUUGUUAAGAAAUCGCGUUCAAUGGAAACCAACGUUCCACAAUGGCACGUUUGGCAACACUGUGUGUUCCAUGUUUCUUGCAUUUACCCCUCCACCCUCCCUCUAAAACACUACAAUGCUGUUAAAACCAGUGUAUCUCGAAAUGUCAUAAAGGACCUUGGACGUUAAUGACUCAACGACGGGCCUUUGUGAAGAUGCUAAUGAAAGUGGCAGCAAUCAACUUUGAAGUCAAAACUUGUAUCACGGAGUUUGGAGUUAUUUUAUAGUAACGUAGUGUCACUUAUGCCAAACACUGCCUGCAUUGAUAUUUGAUUUUUCGGUUACGUACGAACGCUCUUCAACUGUUUAAGUUGGUAGACAGUUGAUGGAUUUUAGAUGAAUUGCAAGGAAGUGGUUGCCUGGAGGGACCGAGGAAAGCCAAUAAGACUUCAGCCAGGAUAAUAGGUUUCCAGGCGGAGAUUCGAACCCUGUACUUCCACGUUUCUUAGCGAUCUCUUCUGUUUCGUUCCUGGACUCAUUUCGAGCAUCCGAGCAAAAUCUUUUGCGUUUCUGCGUAGGAUGUAGACACUGAAAAUGGUGGAAACUUUGAAAGGCGUUGCAUUCGAUUUUCCUUGUUUAGGGACAAUGAGCAAGGCCACUGUAAGCGCAUAUAUUUGCUUACCUGCAAGAUGGUAGUCCUUGUUUGGACGCCUGAUGUCAUCUUUAUUAUCAACAAAGUGGAGGUUAUUGAAAGGGUCAUAAGGUUGUCCAAAACCACAUUUGUCUAACAGCGUAUGAGGCUCCAUAAAAAAAUCAGAGGACUUCAAAAGACGUUGAAUUUUUAAUGCGGGACAGAAUUUGGAGGGGAAUUAUGGAUUCAAUCCGCUACCCACCUGAAAUGUCAGAGACGACACGUAAUAUUAAAGUUUGUUUUUAUUCACGGUUGUGUCGCUGGUGUCUCACCACGGAGACCAGAGAUCGCUGCCAUGGUAGCCGGGGGUUUGUGAUGGACAGUGGCACUGGGACAGGUUUUACACGCUGAUGUGGCGCGAGAUUUUAUAGAAAAUUUCAUGUUUGGUUUGUAACACCGUGUAGCUUGGUAGAAGUUUACCGACGUUUCGGAGGUCCCUGCUGCCUCCAUCAUCAGGGCGAUGAUGGACUCGACAUUGAGGCAGUAAUCACCUCUGAAACGUAGGCAAAGUCCUACGAGACGACACGGUUCAGAAUCCCUGAAGGCACUUUUCCUCGACCACUGUCAGAGGCGAGGUUCACAGCGAACAACUUCCAGUUGUGAUUCACAGGGAGAGUACGUCACGUACGCCAUUGUUCUUAACCUUUUCCUUUCAAUAGUUGAGAUGGCACGUGUGUGCGCUCAUAUAAACAUUGCUGUAUUCACGUUCGAGCUAAAUAAACUGGGGCUUAGGACCUCACAUUAUGAUGUCUGAAA
This is a non-coding RNA of Zootermopsis nevadensis, 1839 nucleotides long. NCBI's taxonomy places the organism in Eukaryota, Metazoa, Arthropoda, Insecta, Blattodea, Termopsidae. The record is from RefSeq and is a predicted model, not a curated record.